RNAcentral lists this unclassified non-coding RNA (201 nucleotides) under fungal sp. RNAcentral's name for it is "partial internal transcribed spacer region". The stretch from base 1 to 46 matches the Rfam family "Eukaryotic small subunit ribosomal RNA", at positions 1786 to 1831 of the family's 1831-position model. Lineage: Eukaryota; Fungi. The record is from RNAcentral.
AAGUCGUAACAAGGUAUCCGUAGGUGAACCUGCGGAUGGAUCAUUACCAAAGGAUUUAUCCCAAGGUCUUGUGAACUGUUUUGAACACCACGGUCAGAGGUCUCCUAGUGGGAUUUCUGGCUGUACACUAAACCUUUAAACCUCAACUUACAUCAAAAACAUAAACAAUUACAACUUUUAGCAAUGGAUCUCUUGGCUCUC